This 434-nucleotide ribosomal RNA is filed under the name uncultured bacterium. RNAcentral's name for it is "partial 16S ribosomal RNA". It matches the Rfam family "Bacterial small subunit ribosomal RNA", at positions 29 to 508 of the family's 1533-position model. The record is from RNAcentral.
AACGAACGCUGGCGGCAUGCCUAACACAUGCAAGUCGAACGAGACCUUCGGGUCUAGUGGCGCACGGGUGCGUAACGCGUGGGAACCUGCCCUUAGGUUCGGAAUAACUCCCCGAAAGGGGUGCUAAUACCGGAUAAUGCCUUCGGACCAAAGAUUUAUCGCCUUUGGAUGGGCCCGCGUUGGAUUAGCUAGUUGGUAGGGUAAAAGCCUACCAAGGCGACGAUCCAUAGCUGGUCUGAGAGGAUGAUCAGCCACACUGGGACUGAGACACGGCCCAGACUCCUACGGGAGGCAGCAGUGGGGAAUAUUGGACAAUGGGCGAAAGCCUGAUCCAGCAAUGCCGCGUGAGUGAUGAAGGCCUUAGGGUUGUAAAGCUCUUUUACCCGGGAUGAUAAUGACAGUACCGGGAGAAUAAGCUCCGGCUAACUCCGUGC